AGUCACUGACAUUAGAUACCCGCGUAGUCCAGGGUGUAAACGCUGCAGACUUGGUGUUGGGAACCCUUCGGGGGUGCUCAGUGCCGGAGAGAAGUUGUUAAGUCUGCCGCCUGGGAAGUACGGUCGCAAGGCUGAAACUUAAAGGAAUUGGCGGGGGAGCACCGCAACGGGAGGAGCGUGCGGUUUAAUUGGAUUCAACACCGGAAAACUCACCAGGGGAGACUGUUACAUGAAACCCAGACUAAUGAUCUUGGUUGAUUUUCAG
Molecule: ribosomal RNA, 265 nt
Filed under: uncultured archaeon
Lineage: Archaea
Description: partial 16S ribosomal RNA
Rfam family: Archaeal small subunit ribosomal RNA
Source: RNAcentral